This 450-nucleotide ribosomal RNA is filed under the name uncultured bacterium. Its description in RNAcentral is "partial 16S ribosomal RNA". It matches the Rfam family "Bacterial small subunit ribosomal RNA", at positions 354 to 796 of the family's 1533-position model. The record is from RNAcentral.
GUGGGGAAUCUUCCGCAAUGGACGAAAGUCUGACGGAGCAACGCCGCGUGAGUGAUGAAGGUCUUCGGAUUGUAAAGCUCUGUUAAUCGGGACGAAAGAGCCUAGUGUGAAUAAUGCUAGGAAGUGACGGUACCGGAAUAGAAAGCCACGGCUAACUACGUGCCAGCAGCCGCGGUAAUACGUAGGUGGCAAGCGUUGUCCGGAAUUAUUGGGCGUAAAGCGCGCGCAGGCGGAUCUGCCAGUCUGUCUUAAAAGUUCGGGGCUUAACCCCGUGAUGGGAUGGAAACUACAGAUCUAGAGUAUCGGAGAGGAAAGUGGAAUUCCUAGUGUAGCGGUGAAAUGCGUAGAUAUUAGGAAGAACACCAGUGGCGAAGGCGGCCUGCUGGACAUUAACUGACGCUGAGGCGCGAAAGCGUGGGGAGCAAACAGGAUUAGAUACCCCAGUAGUCC